CCUACGGGUGGCAGCAGUGGGGGAUAUUGCACAAUGGGGGAAACCCUGAUGCAGCGACGCCGCGUGUGGGAAGACGGUCCUCUGGAUUGUAAACCACUGUCCCCAGGGACGAAGAUGACGGUACCUGGGGAGGAAGCUCCGGCUAACUACGUGCCAGCAGCCGCGGUAAUACGUAGGGAGCGAGCGUUGUCCGGAAUUACUGGGUGAAAAGGGAGCGUAGGCGGGACUGCAAGUUGGGUGUCAAAUCUACCGGCUCAACCGGUAGCCGCACUCAAAACUGCAGUUCUUGAGUGAAGUAGAGGCAGGCGGAAUUCCUAGUGUAGCGGUGAAAUGCGUAGAGAUGAGGAGGAACACCAGUGGCGAAGGCGGCCUGCUGGGCUUUUACUGACGCUGAGGCUCGAAAGUGUGGGGAGCAAACAGGAUUAGAUACCCGAGUAGUC
This 440-nucleotide ribosomal RNA is filed under the name uncultured bacterium. Its description in RNAcentral is "partial 16S ribosomal RNA". It matches the Rfam family "Bacterial small subunit ribosomal RNA", at positions 338 to 795 of the family's 1533-position model. The record is from RNAcentral.